This 123-nucleotide ribosomal RNA is filed under the name Lepisosteus oculatus (spotted gar). Lineage: Eukaryota; Metazoa; Chordata; Actinopteri; Semionotiformes; Lepisosteidae. The record is from RNAcentral.
UUCAGUAGCCAUAUCACCCUGCAACUCACAACUGGCAGCCCACUGAAGCUACGUAAGCAGGUGUGAGCCUGGUCAGUACCUGGAUGGGAGACCUCCUGGGAAAAACUAAGGUUGCUCCUGGAA